Molecule: long non-coding RNA, 1608 nt
Filed under: Olea europaea (common olive)
Lineage: Eukaryota; Viridiplantae; Streptophyta; Magnoliopsida; Lamiales; Oleaceae
Description: long non-coding RNA (OEUR_LNC009480)
Source: RNAcentral
UUUCUCAUAAGCAUGAUGUCAACUUAGGUUUUUCUAUAAACCUAAGAUAAAAUUGUAGCAGUUGUUCCUUUCACUUUUUUUCGAUAGAUGUUUAUUCUAAUCUUAAAUUUGUGUUAAUGAAGGUCCAUAAACUUUGAGAAAUAAGAACCUUCAGUCUCUCGUCGAUGACACCAACCCCUAAACUAUCAAACCCACACAUCAUUGGAAAUCCCUUCAUUCCCCUCUCCACAUCCCAACCAGCCACAACCUAAACUCCAUCAAAUGUCACCGGAAUAACCACCAAAAAUACCCCAACUCGCAAACUCAAAAGCUGUCGACAACUCCUCCUUCGAUCACACCCACCAUCGCGGACUAUCAUCGGUCGACUCCCACAAUCCAAGUGUUCAAUCUGAUGAUAACAUUUCAACAAAAAGGGGGACAACCAAUAGAUGCAGCUUUUGGGAUUUCGAAUCCCGAUCUUGCGUUGCUGCAAUUUUCCCAUUUACAAACUCACUUGGGGAAAAUCCAAUUCUCGGUAGCCAAGCAGCCACCAAUCCAAUUCCUGGUUGCCGAGAAGGUUGUGCCGACGGUGGGUGGCGAUGCUAGUGGUUGAUUUCGGCGUGGGGUGGGGCGGGCGGGCGUGGGGGGAGUGGAAAAAGGAGAGUGGGUAGGGUUGUGAGAAGCAGACAGCAGUUUUUUAUUUCUUUUAUUUCUUUUCUUUCUUUUUGGUUUUUUAUUUUUUGAUUUUAUUUGUUUAAUGUGAUAAUUUUAAAGUUACCAUUUUAUCCAUUUCAAUUAAGUUAAAAUCAAUCAAAGUCCACUUUUGUGUUAGUCAGUUAACGGUCCAAUACAUCUAUUUGGACUCCAAGUGCUUAUUUCUCAAAGGUUAGGAAUGUUCAUUGACACAAAUUAAAUGUUAAAGUAAAGUUUACAAAAAGUGAAAGAUUAGGAACCGUUGCUACAAUUUUUCCCAAACCUAAAAUAAUGCUUUGUAACUCUAUUGAAUAUAGAAAUAUAAUUCACUUUCCCUGUUUCGUUGUAUCAAAGCCAAAUUAGAUAUCUAAUUUUAUUCUCCUAAUGCUUUGUUUUGCUGAUUAUUGAGAAUUUUAAUCUUCUACGAAAUCUUGCUUUGUUUGGUGGAAGGGGAGGAAGACGUGAUAGGUGGGAGGGAAAAAGAUUUUUUUUUUUUUUUAAAUUAAAAUUUUUUAAUUAUUUAUUUGAUACUCGUUUGUAUUCUUUUAAAAAAUUUAGGACUAUGACUGUAAUUAAUUCUUUAUUUUUUAAUUUUUUUUAUUUGAAGAGUAGGUUAUAUACGUCAUUUCACAUGUUUUUAUUCAGAAAAUGGAAGAAAGUGUUGUAUUUCACACUUGGAAAGAUCAUCUGGGAGAGUUUUCCACAAUAUGAAAGGAUAGGAGAUAUUCCACUAGAAAGACAAACAUAAAGGGGAUUUUGCACCAAUUACCCAUCCUAGCAUCUUGUGGUUUAUUUUAGGCUUAUUGGUACACAAUCUCUUAUCAUUUGGACAUAUCGCUGAAUAUCGUCUCUAUCCUUUCAUAUUGGAUGAGAACACCCUUAUAUGACUUUUAAGGUGCGAUUCUCCGUUUACCGUUCAAUUCUGUUAGUUUAGGC